AUGGGGUUGCAGGCUGUGCUGCUGACCUCUGCCGCACUGACUGCGGAGGUCAAUACUUUGAAGCAAAGCCUCGAGCGGUCCGAGAACGAGCUCGGCCAUGCCAAGAAGCAGCUCGAGGACAAGGAAGGGGCCACGAACGAGGUGGCGACCCUGAAGGAGGCGGUGUCCGCGGCCGAACAUAAUGCGGCCGUGGAGGACACUGAGCGAGAGAAGCAGGAGGCGCGGGUGGCGGAGGUACAGCAAGAGCUCCAGGCUCUCGUGGAAAAACAUGAUAGUUUGGAGCGCGACUCGAAGACUCGAGAGUCCGAGCUUGCUUCGGCUCUUGGGAGUGCCAAAGCCUCUAAGGCCGAAGCCUACAAGGCCCUCCAGGAAAUCGGGGCGUUGAAGAAAAUAGCGGCAGGUAAGGCAUUUUUCAUGCAAAGCAAGCAUGUGAGUGUGAAUUACCUAUCACUUACCCGAAUUCGGAGCUCUCCAGGAGCGUUCGCAGAUCUGCCCUGCAGCGUGUCCGAUGCUGCCGCUUUCUACAGGGCCAAGGAGGGGAGCUCGACGGAGAAGGUCUUCUGGUCUCAGUAUGCUGAGGCCGGACAUCCGGUGCCCCUUAGCAACCAGCUGAAGCAGCUGGUCGAGCUCCACAAGGUGGCCGAACAGGCCAUGAAGGGCCUCAUAGUUCGGCUGUGGCCCGGGGAGGCCAUGCCUAGGAGCUACUUCGGCCUGGUGCGGCGGCUGGUGGAUGCUUGUCCAUGGGUUGAAUUCAUCAAGCACUCCGCCUGUAUUGAAGGUGCCCGUCGGGCCCUUGCCCGCGCAAAGGUGCAAUGGGGCAAGAUGGAUGCUGAGAAGCUUGUGACGGAUGCGCCACCGCCGAGCAAGGAGUAUCGCACGCCCGAGAUGUAUUAUAAGAGUGUCCUGAAGGGUGCCCGCAUUAUUGCGGGUGAGUGCUCCAAAGAUGUAAUAUUUGAGUAG
RNAcentral lists this ribosomal RNA (960 nucleotides) under Triticum aestivum (bread wheat). RNAcentral describes it as "partial small subunit ribosomal RNA". The record is from RNAcentral. Lineage: Eukaryota; Viridiplantae; Streptophyta; Magnoliopsida; Poales; Poaceae.